UUUCAGCAUAGUCAUGACCAUUAGCUGUGCAGUAGGAAUGCCUGCCUAUGGAGCCCUGCUGCUCUGGAUCCCAACUGUAGUCUGAUUUCCUGGCUUGGCCUUGGACCUGCCUCAUCCUUAUGGACCUGCACGGUGAUCCCUGGACCUGGUCCGACCUGUGGAUUGACUUCCUGACUUCAUCGUGGAGUUGCCUCAUCCACAAGGUAUUGCCCUACGAUGUGGACUUUUGACUGGACUUGACACCAUUUAAUGGUCUUUGCUUCCUCAUUUAGGUGCUGUGGUAAAGGCUGUGGUUGGUGGGAUGCCUGGCAGUCAUGGGACCUUCCUUAGCUCCUGGCCUGCCUCCCUGAGGGAGCAGCCCUUCUCUUGCUGCUCUCUGGCACAUCUCACCAAACCAGACACCAGAAGGGCCAGCAAGGCAAAAGGGAUCCUAGGUGGCCUGAAGCUUUCCAAAGGUCUGUUUCGCCUUGUGUUAGCCCACUUGGGAGCUGAGCAUCUGCACUUGGAGUUGGUAUCUCGUGGCUGUGGGGCUGCAGGGACGUGCAGGCUGCAUGGCAGUCCCCGUGUCAGGACCAGCUGCUCCAUCCCUGGGGCCACG
RNAcentral lists this long non-coding RNA (598 nucleotides) under Gallus gallus (chicken). Its description in RNAcentral is "long non-coding RNA NONGGAT002961". Lineage: Eukaryota; Metazoa; Chordata; Aves; Galliformes; Phasianidae. The record is from RNAcentral.